RNAcentral lists this non-coding RNA (28 nucleotides) under Mus musculus (house mouse). The record is from RNAcentral. Lineage: Eukaryota; Metazoa; Chordata; Mammalia; Rodentia; Muridae.
UGGAAAGUCACUGUGCCUCCUCCAGGUC